Long non-coding RNA from Xenia sp. Carnegie-2017, 94 nucleotides. RefSeq lists it as uncharacterized. Lineage: Eukaryota; Metazoa; Cnidaria; Anthozoa; Malacalcyonacea; Xeniidae. The record is from RefSeq and is a predicted model, not a curated record. The transcript has 3 exons.
GCAGAGUAUAUGUGGACGCUUUCUGUAAUCGUCCAACCAUGUCAUCAAACCCCAAAACUCCCAUGAUGGUGUGGAUGAGGCUGGAGCUCUUGAU